RNAcentral lists this ribosomal RNA (658 nucleotides) under bacterium YG-25. RNAcentral describes it as "bacterial SSU rRNA". It matches the Rfam family "Bacterial small subunit ribosomal RNA", at positions 781 to 1439 of the family's 1533-position model. The record is from RNAcentral.
GAUACCCUGGUAGUCCACGCUGUAAACGAUGUCGACUUGGAGGUUGUUCCCUUGAGGAGUGGCUUCCGGAGCUAACGCGUUAAGUCGACCGCCUGGGGAGUACGGCCGCAAGGUUAAAACUCAAAUGAAUUGACGGGGGCCCGCACAAGCGGUGGAGCAUGUGGUUUAAUUCGAUGCAACGCGAAGAACCUUACCUACUCUUGACAUCCAGGGAAUUUAGCAGAGAUGCUUUAGUGCCUUCGGGAACCGUGAGACAGGUGCUGCAUGGCUGUCGUCAGCUCGUGUUGUGAAAUGUUGGGUUAAGUCCCGCAACGAGCGCAACCCUUAUCCUUUGUUGCCAGCGGUUCGGCCGGGAACUCAAAGGAGACUGCCAGUGAUAAACUGGAGGAAGGUGGGGAUGACGUCAAGUCAUCAUGGCCCUUACGAGUAGGGCUACACACGUGCUACAAUGGCAUAUACAAAGAGAAGCGACCUCGCGAGAGCAAGCGGACCUCAUAAAGUAUGUCGUAGUCCGGAUCGGAGUCUGCAACUCGACUCCGUGAAGUCGGAAUCGCUAGUAAUCGUGGAUCAGAAUGCCACGGUGAAUACGUUCCCGGGCCUUGUACACACCGCCCGUCACACCAUGGGAGUGGGUUGCAAAAGAAGUAGGUAGCUUAAC